RNAcentral lists this ribosomal RNA (38 nucleotides) under Histoplasma capsulatum. RNAcentral's name for it is "partial 28S ribosomal RNA". Lineage: Eukaryota; Fungi; Ascomycota; Eurotiomycetes; Onygenales; Ajellomycetaceae. The record is from RNAcentral.
GGUUGACCUCGGAUCAGGUAGAGAUACCCGCUGAACUA